Long non-coding RNA from Schistocerca serialis cubense, 703 nucleotides. RefSeq lists it as uncharacterized. The transcript has 2 exons. The record is from RefSeq and is a predicted model, not a curated record. NCBI's taxonomy places the organism in Eukaryota, Metazoa, Arthropoda, Insecta, Orthoptera, Acrididae.
ACAGCUACAUUGCACAGCUGAUCAAAUGAUGACAAGCUGGUUCAGGUAGGUUUAAAUACACCUGACAUUAUGGUUGUGGCUGCGUUUUUAUGUCGUAUCAAACAAUUUGGAACAGGGUGAUGACUAGUGGGGAUGUCGCUACCAGCAGUAAGUUGAACUGUAGUAAUUUCCUGAAGACUAGCCCAGUCAUCAGCAGGCGGAAGUCUGAUGAGAUGGAGGCAGUUGCUUCUGAUCAUCAUACAGUUCAGCGACCAGCAUCAGCACCAGUUGGCCAUGGCCAUGGUCGAGGCCGAUUAUAAUUCUGGGCUUUGUCCUCUGCUCCAAAUACUUUCUCAGUUUUAUUCCCUUACAGCUCUUCUCCAACAAUGCUUGUACUGUUAUCAAGACUAAUGAAGAAAUUUCAGCACUUGAAAAGAAAUGGUAGAUGAGGAGCUUAUGUCAUAGACUCUGCAUCCUGCCCACGUCCUGGAGACAACUAUAUCUUCAACAGCAUCAUUGCAUCAAUCAUCGAAGUGUAUGGAAGCACUCAACUCAGGUUAAUGUGAGCUCAGGACCCUGUUUGAUUCCACGAGACAUCUGUAUCUUCAACAGCAGCACUGCAUCCAUCAUUGCACAAUAUUUGCCUAUAAGGACUUAUUUUUUCAGUUAACGAUGUACAAAAAAUUGCAUCAAAAUAUGUGUAAUAAAAUGACAUUUACGAGUU